GGGAUACCAUAAUAUAUCCAAAAAAAAUUUGCCAUGUGAAUAAUUAAAGGCCGCAACAAUCCUUUCUCAUAUAUAGCCAUACACCAUCAUUACAAACCUGUUUCUGUAACUCACAAGUGCGACUACAAUUUAAAACAUGCUUCCCAGAUAUCAGUUUCCAAACACCGCUUAGAAAACUAUCCCACCCACCCAUCCGAUAGUAAACACGCAUGACAGCUAAAAAGUAUUCCAAGUAAUGGUCAAUGUAAUUUGUCCACCAAGACUAUUACAUAUAUUUCCUUGCAUUUUAUAUUGCCUAAAAGACAAUUUAAGGAUAAAAAGGUGACAUAUGAUGAAGUUUAAAUUGGCAACAAGGUACAGAAAAAGGGAAAAAAAAAAUUAAAGGAUAUUCAAGAAGAUCAUCAAUCAAAGAAAAUAAAGAAAAUUUUACCUGUAAAUGGAAAUUGCAGAAGAGGAAAAGAAUUUUUUUUUUCUUCUAAUACUGUAAUUAAAGGGGAAAAAACAUGAAAGAAAUUGAAGAUAAAAGAGGAAAUUAGCAAGUACACCCAAGCUGGAGAAUGUUUCUGUAAAUGGAAAUAUAUAGAAAACUCUCAGCAGUGAUAAGGGGAAAUCCUGAAAGAGCUAAGAAUCUGAACAUAUGCUUAAAACGAUUUUUAAAAAAAUAAAAAAAGAAUCUGUACCAACACUAACAGUAACAGAAAAAGACCUUGCAAAGAACCCUAGGUGAAGAAAUUAAGAGGCGAAGAAAGAAAGAAUAGUUGAUGAGAGAACCUACCAGUGGCAAUCUAGGCUACAAAUCCAAGCUCAUUUACAAGAAGCAGAAGGCACGAGGAUUGACCAGUACAGAUGUCUAGUUUCAGCCAUUGCUUUGCUUUUCUCUGGAGCUGUCCUUUUUGGUGCUGUUGUCGCUGUAAAUUCAAGGCCACCAAAGGCAUUAAAGGAAAGAAAGAAAAAGAGAAAGAGCUUAUCAACUUAACCUAGUUGAUGAAUGAAAAAGAAAGAUUCUUUUUAUGGCCAAACAAUGAAUAAAGUGACUGUG
This 1039-nucleotide unclassified non-coding RNA is filed under the name Hevea brasiliensis (rubber tree). The record is from RNAcentral. Lineage: Eukaryota; Viridiplantae; Streptophyta; Magnoliopsida; Malpighiales; Euphorbiaceae.